Molecule: long non-coding RNA, 714 nt
Organism: Anolis carolinensis (green anole)
Lineage: Eukaryota; Metazoa; Chordata; Lepidosauria; Squamata; Anolidae
Exons: 2
Source: RefSeq, a predicted model, not a curated record
GUUGAGCCUCAUGGCUCUACUACUGGGCGACGUGGGCGUAAGACUCCUCGAGAGUCAGAUACUCUCGAGGAGCGAGAAAGGAAGCGGCUGCGAGAUAUCUUUGCAGAACCAUCUGACGAGGAUUCUUUUGAGGGGUUUACUGAGAGAAUGGAGGAAGAGAUGGUUAGCUCGGAAGAGGAUGACAUGGAAUGGACUCGUGUAAGGGAGGAUUUGGGUGCCACUGGCAAUGAUAGUAUGGAAGGCGAUUGGGGACCUUCAGGAUUAGACCCGUGGACAAGCUGGAGGGAUGGGACGGGAUCCACAGCUGGGGAUGCUGCGGGGCGUAGUCAAAGGUGUUCCAGUUCUGAUGAGGAAAGUGAUGAGGAAACGCCCGGGCUAAGGAGAACAGCUGAUAGCGAUGAGGACUUGUAACUGGCAUAAAAUGGGGUUUGGGAGCAAUAGCAAAUUGCGUUGGGCAAGGUAAUCUGGACGAACGCUUGGGAUCUGUGUGGGAAGUUUUCCUGAAGACGGGUGUGAUUCGUUUGCUGACUACCUUUGACCUUCCGUCGUCUUCUUGACGGACGCCAUCUGCUUACUCUGGACUUACGGACUGACUGACUACGGCCUCGGAUUCUCCUACCUGUGUCUAUCGUUGGAACUGGUGAACUACAAACGUCUGCAUCGGCCUUACGACCUUCGGAACGGAUUGGGACUUCGCUGACUGCUUCUGCCCUC